Molecule: transfer RNA, 78 nt
Filed under: Marmota monax (woodchuck)
Lineage: Eukaryota; Metazoa; Chordata; Mammalia; Rodentia; Sciuridae
Description: tRNA.Leu
Source: RNAcentral
UUUAUGUUAUGGCUCAGUGGUAGAGCGCUUACCUCAAACGUGUGAGGCACUGGGUUCAAUCCUUAGCACCACAUAAAA